GAAAACUUUUUGACUCUGCCAGAGGACUUUCUGAAUCUUCAGGAGCUGGGAAGAAUGAAGAAAGGAAGGUUCUGUGAAAGUCCUGAUCCUUGGAAAUAUAGCCUGCUCUCCUCCAAAGAACAUAGAUCUAGUGCUGCAAGGGAGCUCAGAAGUCACCUCGUCCAAAUUAACUCAUUUUACAGAUGACACAACUGAGGGCCGGGGAGGUUGGGUGACAUAUCUGAGGUCACUCAGCUAAUAUCAGAGGUGAGAUUUCAACCUUUGUCCUCUGACUGCAGUCAGUACCUUUUUAUCACACCAUAUAUCAACCUUAAUAAUUAUAACCUUGUUGAUGAUA
RNAcentral lists this long non-coding RNA (337 nucleotides) under Phascolarctos cinereus (koala). RNAcentral's name for it is "lncRNA (ENSPCIG00000019495.2)". The record is from RNAcentral. Lineage: Eukaryota; Metazoa; Chordata; Mammalia; Diprotodontia; Phascolarctidae.